GAUGCGAUUGUCAUAGAAACAGCAUCACGAAAUGAUGAUGAUUUUAUCCCAAAUAAAGGGGGAGGCUACAUCGUGCAACAUAGCUCAACAAAAAUUGAAAAAGCCACACAUUCCAGAAUCUUCGAUGCGAGCUGACUGCAGAGUUUGAGGUGUUCCCUAGCCAAUGGAAUGCUUAGAAGGUCUGAAGGAAGAGGGCAGUUGACAUAUACAUUUUAAAAAGAUCCGAUCCGAUGAUGUUUAGAAUAUUUGAAAGAACGCGUGGCGCUGUUGUAUCAUGGGGUCGAUCAGGGAAACACGGUUUCCCCAGGCUAACAGAUUUUUCAACAGUAGCCGGAGCAGAUACUUCAAACAAUGAUCGAAAUGGGCCUCUUAUUGGACAAGAUGAUAUACCGAAAUUGGUUAUUUUUGACAAAAAUGGCACAUUGACAGAUUUCAAUGCAAAAUGGAGUCCAUGGAUACAAAAUACAACCAUGCGGAUAAGAGACAUGACAGGACUGGAUGUAUCAGGCAAAGUUUAUGAUCAGCUGGGGUUCUGUGAUCUCACACAGAAAACUAAACCAGGGCUUCUUUUAGCCGAAGCUACGGUCACUGAAAUCAAACAUCAUUUGAUAGAUAUCCUCCAAAAAGAAGGAAUGAAUGAGGAAGAAGCAGCAUGGACGGUUGAACAGAUUUGGGAGGAGGUUGAUUCCGAACGAUUAGUAAAACUAGAUGAUCUAGUCACAUUGUUUCGUAUCUUGACUGAGGAGGGUAUAAAAAUAGCAGUAGCUACUCGGGAAUCACGAACAUCAGCACUUCAAGCGAUGAAAAAUCUCGGUUUGAGACAAUAUAUCAGUGCUAUGGUAUGCGGUGAUGACGUCAACACAAAGGCGCGCCCUAGUGGCCAUAAUAUCAAAUUAAUCUGUCAAAUGUUGAACAUAAAUCCGCAGGAUACUGUCUUGAUCGGGGACACUGCAAAUGAUAUGAUAAUGGGCAGAAACGCGGGUGCUGGCGCUGUUGUUGGAGUUCUAAGCGGUAUAGGAACUAUAGAAGAUCUCAAACCAAUCGCUAAUAAUACGGUGAACAGCGUUAUGGAGGUCCUUCCACUUAUACUUCCUGAAGCUAAAUUCAGAGAGUGUGUGGAAAGGCAUGGACUGGUAGCUAAGAAGAAAGAAGCCCAUUUGCCAGGAAGAAAGAAGUCCCUGGUAAUAUUUGAUAAGGACGGAACGCUUAUUUGUUUUCAUUCCAUGUGGCGACCAUGGAUAAUGAAACUCUCAAAGAGAUUAGAAAAUGCUACUGGAUUAAAGUUGGCAGAUACGGUGUUUGAACGAUUGGGAUUCUCUAAGGAAACUGAUAAAUUCCUACCAGGCGUAGUUGCUGAAGGCACACAAACGGACGUUCAAAACGAACUCUUCAAAAUCCUUGAAGAAAACGGUAUAAGCCACGAAGAAGCCAGGUCCACUGUUCAACGAGUCUGGGACGGCUGUGAAGUCCAAGACUCGGAGUCCCUUAAGUCAGUUGGUGAUGUGUUACCCACGUUCAAAAAGCUAAAGCAGUAUGGUAUCAGAAUAGCUGUGUGUACGUCAGACUCUCGCCAGGGAACAAUGGAAACGCUGGACAAAUUGGGCCUGAUGGAAUAUGUUGAUGCGCUCGUCUGUGGGGAUGAUGCCCGUUCUGAGACGAAACCGUCACCGCAAAAUGCUUACACCAUCUGUGAUGCACUCAAUGUUGAUCCAUCUGAUACUGUCAUGGUCGGGGACACAUUAGCUGAUAUCGGAAUGGGAAGAUCCGCCAACCUUGGGGCAACAGUGGCUGUGCUUACUGGUGUAUGUGGACCAGAGGAACUAGCCGACGCAGACCACGUAGUACCAAGUGCUAUACACGUGUUGCCCAUUGUUCUCCCUGACGACCAUCACAAUUUAGGAAAUGUGGACACAUCUACAAAUCUUUCUGUACCCCAAACUAGAUCAUAUUCAACGUGUCACCAGUCAUCGCCCAAAUUACUGAUAGCAAGAAAUUCAAGAUAUCAUCAAUGUAAUCAACCAAUAAGAAGACAAUAUAGCACGAACAGUUUAUCAAAGAAGUAUGACUAUGUUAUUGUUGGCGCAGGAUCUGCAGGGUGUGUGUUGGCAAAUAGGCUAACAGAGGAUCAAAGUAAAAACGUACUCCUUCUUGAAGCAGGACCCAAGGAUUAUUGGUGGAACUGGAAAAUCCACAUGCCCGCUGCAUUGAUGUACAAUCUGUGUAAUGAUAACUACAAUUGGUUUUAUCACACAGUGCCACAGAAGAAUGUAGAUAACAGGGUCAUGUACCAGCCUAGAGGUCGCGUAUGGGGUGGUUCUUCAUCACUUAAUGCAAUGGUAUAUAUCCGUGGCCACGCAUUGGAUUAUGAUCGCUGGGAAUCCGAAGGCGCUAGGGGUUGGUCGUAUGCGAACUGCUUACCAUAUUUCAAAAAAUCCCAGACGCAUGAGCUUGGGGAAAAUGAUUAUAGAGGGGGCUCUGGUCCUUUACAGGUGUCACGUGGAAAAACGGGGCAUCCUUUACAUAAGGCAUUCAUAGAGGCAGGAGUUCAAGCUGGAUAUCCUUAUACGGAGGACAUGAACGGGUUCUGCCAGGAGGGUAUGGGAGAAAUGGAUAUGACCAUACACAAGGGGCGCAGGUGGAACACCUCUCAAGCGUAUCUUAGGCCAGCUCUGAGUAGACCAAAUCUGGACACAGAAACAAAAGCGUUCACUACACGUGUCCUGUUCUCUGACGACAAGGCUACUGGAGUUGAAUAUGAGCAAAACGGUGAACUGAAACGUAUUGAAGCAAAUGAGGUUAUCCUUAGUGGAGGUGCAAUUAAUUCCCCGCAACUACUGAUGUUGUCUGGCAUUGGAAACGCGGACGAGUUAAAAGCACUUGAUAUUCCAGUGCAGACCCAUCUUCCUGGGGUUGGUGAAAAUCUUCAAGAUCAUCUCGAUUUGUAUAUCCAACAGAAGUGCGUUAAACCCAUAACUCUCUAUACGGCGCAGUGGAAAUUUCCCCAUAACAUGGUCAAGAUUGGCUUACAAUGGUUGGCAACCAGGACUGGUUGGGGAGCAACAGCGCAUUUAGAAUCGGGAGGAUUGAUACGUAGCCGACCUGGAAUCGCACACCCAGAUAUCCAGUAUCAUUUUCUCCCGUCUGUCGUGCUCGAUCACGGACGUACAAGUGGAAACUGUCACGCCUACCAGGUCCAUGCAAGUCAGAUGCGACAGACCAGUAUUGGGAACAUUAAGCUGAAAUCCAAAAACCCGAAGGACCAUCCUUUAAUUGAUCCUAACUACCUUGCGACCGAAAUUGACAUUUGGGAGCUUAGACAAUCAGUAAAACUGUCCAGGGAGAUUCUUGCACAGAAAGCGUUUGAUGAGUAUCGUGGGGAGGAAAUUUCUCCUGGCCCCAGUGUCGUCACUGAUGACGAAAUAGAUGCCUGGGUACGCCAAGCAACGGACACCGCGUACCAUCCAAGUUGCACGUGCAAAAUGGGAUCUACUGAUGAUCCAAUGACUGUUGUUGACAAUCAAGGUCGGGUAUUGGGUAUAGACGGUCUCAGAGUAGUAGAUUCCUCUAUUAUGCCAAGUGUCGUGAGUGGAAACCUUAAUGGACCAACAGUUAUGAUUGCUGAGAAAAUAGCAGAUGCCAUCCGUGGAAGAGAUCCACUACCGCCGAGUGACGCAGCAGUGUGGAAGCCAGAAACUCUUGAAACACAAAGAUAAAACCCCUAGCACAAUGCAUCUAUUUAUGAAAAAUCAUAACCUGUGACAACAACUUCUAUUAACAGACCUUUCCAACAAACCAUGUCCCAUUUUGGUACAUCAAAGAAGCGAUGAUAUAUUGGCUAUCAUAGGUUUUUAAAAUUAGCAAUUAGUUAAUGCAUAGUAGGUACUAUAAGUUACAUUCUUUUACAAAUACAACACUACUGAUACAAAUAUAUUGGCAAAAUAAAAUGAUUUUUAACCGAAGUUUUAUAUACAGUAUUUAUACAUGUAGUUAUUUUAUUACUGUAAUAUUCCCCCGUCUCUCUUAUUGGUUUAUACCGUACACGUGGCCAAAAAUAAGAAGACGUAUCCAUUGGCCAAACACUGUGAUGCCAGUGGCGUUAUACUACAAUUACCGUUUUCAGCAGAUGUGGCGUUUUAAAUCUAAAAUCCAUAAAUAACACAAACAAUACAAUUAAAGGUACAAAAAACGAAGGUCGAUAGUCAUACUGUCACAUCCCAUACUGUUUUCGAUGAAUACCUGUUACACUUUAAAUGAUUCACCAAGUGUAUUCACCGAAGCACGAAGGGCCAGGGGAAUACACCUUGCUAGGAUCAUUGAAAGAUGAACAGGUAUUCACCUCAA
RNAcentral lists this unclassified non-coding RNA (4341 nucleotides) under Owenia fusiformis. Its description in RNAcentral is "choline dehydrogenase". The record is from RNAcentral. Lineage: Eukaryota; Metazoa; Annelida; Polychaeta; Sabellida; Oweniidae.